UCCGGAGUAGCUCAAUGGGUAGAGCGGGUGGCUGUUAACCACUAGGCUGGGGGUUCGAGUCCCUCCUCCGGAGCAA
This 76-nucleotide transfer RNA is filed under the name Fidelibacterota bacterium. RNAcentral's name for it is "Candidatus Marinimicrobia bacterium tRNA-Asn". It matches the Rfam family "tRNA". From Rfam's summary of the family: Transfer RNA (tRNA) molecules are approximately 80 nucleotides in length. Their secondary structure includes four short double-helical elements and three loops (D, anti-codon, and T loops). Further hydrogen bonds mediate the characteristic L-shaped molecular structure. tRNAs have two regions of fundamental functional importance: the anti-codon, which is responsible for specific mRNA codon recognition, and the 3' end, to which the tRNAs corresponding amino acid is attached (by aminoacyl-tRNA synthetases). tRNAs cope with the degeneracy of the genetic code in two manners: having more than one tRNA (with a specific anti-codon) for a particular amino acid; and 'wobble' base-pairing, i.e. permitting non-standard base-pairing at the 3rd anti-codon position. Lineage: Bacteria; Pseudomonadati; Fidelibacterota. The record is from RNAcentral.